Salmo salar (Atlantic salmon) is the source of this 54-nucleotide non-coding RNA. Lineage: Eukaryota; Metazoa; Chordata; Actinopteri; Salmoniformes; Salmonidae. The record is from Rfam.
UGCAGCUGCUUUUGUAAGUCGCUCUGGAUAAGAGUGUCUGCUAAAUGACUAAAA